RNAcentral lists this ribosomal RNA (429 nucleotides) under uncultured bacterium. Its description in RNAcentral is "bacterial SSU rRNA". It matches the Rfam family "Bacterial small subunit ribosomal RNA", at positions 917 to 1344 of the family's 1533-position model. The record is from RNAcentral.
GGACCCGCACAAGUAGUGGAGCAUGUGGUUUAAUUCGAAGAUACGCGCAGAACCUUACCAACACUUGACAUGUUCGUCGCGACUUUAAGAGAUUAGAGUUUUCGGUUCGGCCGGACGAAACACAGGUGCUGCAUGGCUGUCGUCAGCUCGUGUCGUGAGAUGUUGGGUUAAGUCCCGCAACGAGCGCAACCCUCACUUUUAGUUGCCAUCAUUAAGUUGGGCACUCUGAAAGAACUGCCAGUGAUAAGCUGGAGGAAGGUGGGGAUGACGUCAAGUCCUCAUGGCCCUUACGUGUUGGGCUACACACGUGCUACAAUGGUAUCUACAACAGGAAGCUAAACUGCGAGGUUGAGCAAAUCCCUAAAAGAUACCUCAGUUCGGAUUGCACUCUGCAACUCGAGUGCAUGAAGCUGGAAUUACUAGUAAUCG